RNAcentral lists this ribosomal RNA (461 nucleotides) under uncultured bacterium. RNAcentral describes it as "partial 16S ribosomal RNA". It matches the Rfam family "Bacterial small subunit ribosomal RNA", at positions 338 to 795 of the family's 1533-position model. The record is from RNAcentral.
CCUACGGGGUGCAGCAGUGAGGAAUAUUGGUCAAUGGGCUUACGCCUGAACCAGCCAAGUCGCGUGAGGGAAGACUGCCCUAUGGGUUGUAAACCUCUUUUGUCAGGGAGCAAUUGGCGCUACGUGUAGCGUUAUCGAGAGUACCUGAAGAAAAAGCAUCGGCUAACUCCGUGCCAGCAGCCGCGGUAAUACGGAGGAUGCGAGCGUUAUCCGGAUUUAUUGGGUUUAAAGGGUGCGUAGGCGGAAUGCCAAGUCAGCGGUAAAAUCGCGGGGCCCAACCCCGGGACUGCUCUUGGAACUGCGUGGCUGGAGUGCAGGAGGGGCAGGCGGAAGUCCUGGUGUAGCGGUGAAAUGCGUAGAUAUCAGGAGGAACACCGGUGGCGAAGGCGGCCUGCUGGACUGCAACUGACGUUGAGGCCCGAAAGCGUGGGGAGCAAACAGGAUUAGAUACCCCGGUAGUC